GCUGGGCGCGUGGCACAUGCCUGUAAUCUCAGCAGCUCAGGAGGCUGAUACAGGAGGAUGACAAAUUGCAAGCCAGCCUCAGCAAUUGCAAUGUUCUAUGCAACUUAGUGAGACCCUGUCUCUU
Molecule: small RNA, 124 nt
Filed under: Marmota monax (woodchuck)
Lineage: Eukaryota; Metazoa; Chordata; Mammalia; Rodentia; Sciuridae
Source: RNAcentral